This 22-nucleotide microRNA is filed under the name Xenopus laevis (African clawed frog). Its description in RNAcentral is "Xla-Mir-34-P3a2_3p (mature (co-guide))". RNAcentral also lists the same sequence under 1 other name. The record is from RNAcentral. Lineage: Eukaryota; Metazoa; Chordata; Amphibia; Anura; Pipidae.
CAGCUGCUAGCUGCACUCCACA